Molecule: non-coding RNA, 77 nt
Organism: Podarcis lilfordi (Lilford's wall lizard)
Lineage: Eukaryota; Metazoa; Chordata; Lepidosauria; Squamata; Lacertidae
Source: the annotation of a GenBank genome assembly
GUUCCUUCUGUGGCGCAACGGCUCAGUGCAUCUCACGGUUAAUCAGAAGGUUGGUGGUUCGAACUCACCCAGGGACA